UAGUCCACGCCGUAAACGAUGAUUACUCGCUGUAGGCGAUACACAGUCUGUGGCUAAGCGAAAGUUUUAAGUAAUCCACCUGGGGAGUACGAUCGCAAGAUUGAAACUCAAAGGAAUUGACGGGGGCCCGCACAAGCGGAGGAACAUGUGGUUUAAUUCGAUGAUACGCGAGGAACCUUACCUGGACUUAAAUGUACGUUGCAUAGAUUGGAGACAGUCUUUUCUUCGGACUACGUACAAGGUGCUGCAUGGUUGUCGUCAGCUCGUGCCGUGAGGUGUCGGGUUAAGUCCCAUAACGAGCGCAACCCCUAUCCUUAGUUGCCAGCGGGUCAUGCCGGGGACUCUGAGGAGACUGCCACCGUAAGGUGUGAGGAAGGUGGGGAGUGACGUCAAAUCAGCACGGCCCUUAUGUCCAGGGCUACACACGUGUUACAAUGGACGGUACAGCGGGUAGCGAAACUGUAAAGUGGAGCCAAUCUUGUAAAGCCUAUCCCAGUUCGGAUUGGAGUCUGGAACUCGACUU
This 523-nucleotide ribosomal RNA is filed under the name uncultured bacterium. RNAcentral describes it as "bacterial SSU rRNA". It matches the Rfam family "Bacterial small subunit ribosomal RNA", at positions 791 to 1318 of the family's 1533-position model. The record is from RNAcentral.